Molecule: transfer RNA, 72 nt
Filed under: Dipodomys ordii (Ord's kangaroo rat)
Lineage: Eukaryota; Metazoa; Chordata; Mammalia; Rodentia; Heteromyidae
Rfam family: tRNA
About the family: Transfer RNA (tRNA) molecules are approximately 80 nucleotides in length. Their secondary structure includes four short double-helical elements and three loops (D, anti-codon, and T loops).
Source: Rfam by way of RNAcentral
GGAGGUAUGGCUCAGUGGUAGAGCACCCACUCAGCAAGUGCGUGGUCCUGAGUUCAACCCCAACUACUGCCA